RNAcentral lists this ribosomal RNA (207 nucleotides) under uncultured bacterium. Its description in RNAcentral is "partial 16S ribosomal RNA". It matches the Rfam family "Bacterial small subunit ribosomal RNA", at positions 568 to 774 of the family's 1533-position model. The record is from RNAcentral.
AGCGCAGGCGGGAGAACAAGUUGGAAGUGAAAUCCAUGGGCUCGACCCAUGAACUGCUUUCAAAACUGUUUUUCUUGAGUAGUGCAGAGGUAGGCGGAAUUCCCGGUGUAGCGGUGGAAUGCGUAGAUAUCGGGAGGAACACCAGUGGCGAAGGCGGCCUACUGGGCACCAACUGACGCUGAGGCUCGAAAGUGUGGGUAGCAAACA